Long non-coding RNA from Sarcophilus harrisii (Tasmanian devil), 854 nucleotides. RefSeq lists it as uncharacterized. The transcript is spliced from 5 exons. NCBI's taxonomy places the organism in Eukaryota, Metazoa, Chordata, Mammalia, Dasyuromorphia, Dasyuridae. The record is from RefSeq and is a predicted model, not a curated record.
UUAAUUCUCUAAUAUUCCAGAACAACAGCACGACCCCAUGUAUGCCUUACUCAAGACCAAAGGGCCAUAGAACAACCUAUAGCUCUACAACCUCGCUAUUUCAUCUUAUCCUGGACACGGUCAGGCGGGCUUUACAUGGGUCAAGUGAGCACAAGGAUGAAUACGGUGGGUUAGACAGAAAUCUCCACACAAGACUGAUUUCCCUUUUGAAGAGACCUUGAGGUUUAAUCUACAAAUCAAUUUCAAGUAAGAAUAAGAUUUGAGCAUCAGUCUCCAAUUUCCUGCCUGUUUGUCUAUAUGUCUAAUUUCACACACUGAUUAGGUACUCACCCCCAUCAACAAAGAAAAGAUCCAUGUUCGAUAACUGAAACAGGGAUGGAAUCUUUUUGCUAGCUGAAGGUCAUUGGAUUUUAUAUCUGGAGAAUAAUGCACAGCUUCCUGUCUUCCCCGCUCCAGGUCACAGGGUGGAAUCAGAAAACAAGUUAGAGAAGACCAGAGACAUCUGAGAUGACCUUGACUACAAAUGAAGGUGCCCCUGGAGUUGAACAGGAACUAAUCACUCUGAAGAACAAAAGCCCAGAUUAGUUUAUGUACUUGAAGCCUGAUAAAGAACUGUAGCUUAACAAUUUGGGAAGAUAUAUGACGAGUCAUUGAAUAAAUGAUUCCCUCCUCUUUCCCAAGUAUGACAUAUUUAAGAUUUUUAAAGGAACAACUUCACUUUACAAAUUCAAAGAAUUCCUGAUUUCUCUCACUCUUUUCCCAAGCCCUUUAAGACUUCUAAAAAGCACUUCUAUGCAACAAUGGGCUGACAAAUACUUUUUUAGUGGUUUAAAAAGUCUCCACUUACCUGCAAC